AUGUGUGUGUGUAAUGUGAUUUUUUUUUUUGUAUUCAAAAUGAAAAUGGGAAUGAUAUGUAAUUUGAAGGAAUUUCCUUUUUCAUUUGGAUGGAGAGAUUUAAAAUUGUGAUAUUUGAAAUGAUGCAUUGGUUUUCUAUGAUUGAAUAAAACUAUAAAUCUAGUUUAGGUUAAUAUAUGUGGGUAAUUGAGUGUUUGAUAUACCUAUAGUUUAGUUUCAAAUCCACCUCAAACAGCCAAAUGGUUGUGUGCCUAACUGCCUACUUGUAGUACAAGAGGUUAGGAGUUCAAAACCUGGCAUCACCCUUCCCCUUUAAAAGUUUAAAAAAAAAAAGUAACUUGUCAACCAUAUUCAUGAAUGUUAAAUUCAUUUAUAAAUCUAAUUAACUAAAGAGUGGGCUAACUUUUAUUCAAACAAUUUAAACUAAAAUCUUACACUCAAAUUCCCUUAUUUGAAAUUCUUCCACCAAGAGUAUUAGUUUCAAAAUGAAAGCAAUAAACAAUUAAUAGAUGGCAGAUCAGUGAGUUUCCAUUGGUAACUUGCAGAUAACUAGAACACACACAUCACAUCCAUUUUGAAGUCCUAAAAGUGCCAAUGAUAUUUGGUACACAGCCACAUUCAUCUACUCCCUAAUUUACUACAUUGCAACAUUUCAAGAGAAAUAAAAAUCCUGUUCAAUAAUUGAAAAUUAAUGUGCAGCUCAUAAUAUUUUGAGUCUCCACUUCCUUAGAAAAGUAAAAUAAAUAAAUAAAUAA
Molecule: unclassified non-coding RNA, 755 nt
Filed under: Hevea brasiliensis (rubber tree)
Lineage: Eukaryota; Viridiplantae; Streptophyta; Magnoliopsida; Malpighiales; Euphorbiaceae
Source: RNAcentral